GUUGAUCACAGGCUAUGAGGGAGUUCCCAGUCAUUUUGCUAUUCCGGUUUUAUGUGUUUUGAUCAUAGUAAUAUAGUAUGGUAAUGAACUAUAGUAUAUCAUACUAUGCUGAAUUGCAUUUAGUCAGCAGUCCACUUAUGAAGCCUAAAGACUGUUCAGAGUAACUCACUGCACCCCUCAAACUAAUACUGGUUGACUGAUCAUGACAUCAGUGCACAUCCAAAAUGCAUGAGCCCUGACAGCUACUGUGCUGAACUGCUCUGUAAUCUUGACAGAUUCGAUGAACUUCAGACAUGGAGUCAUCAGACGAUGUGAGCAGUAAGAACAC
RNAcentral lists this long non-coding RNA (328 nucleotides) under Sinocyclocheilus anshuiensis. RNAcentral's name for it is "lncRNA (ENSSANG00000045256.1)". Lineage: Eukaryota; Metazoa; Chordata; Actinopteri; Cypriniformes; Cyprinidae. The record is from RNAcentral.